RNAcentral lists this transfer RNA (75 nucleotides) under Mycolicibacterium fortuitum. RNAcentral's name for it is "tRNA-Phe(gaa)". It matches the Rfam family "tRNA". From Rfam's summary of the family: Transfer RNA (tRNA) molecules are approximately 80 nucleotides in length. RNAcentral also lists the same sequence under 62 other names. The record is from RNAcentral. Lineage: Bacteria; Bacillati; Actinomycetota; Actinomycetes; Mycobacteriales; Mycobacteriaceae.
GGCCAGGUAGCUCAGUUGGUACGAGCGUCCGCCUGAAAAGCGGAAGGUCGCCGGUUCGAUCCCGGCCCUGGCCAC